GGGUUGUGAGGUUAAGCGACUAAGCGUACACGGUGGAUGCCCUGGCAGUCAGAGGCGAUGAAGGACGUGCUAAUCUGCGAUAAGCGUCGGUAAGGUGAUAUGAACCGUUAUAACCGGCGAUUUCCGAAUGGGGAAACCCAGUGUGUUUCGACACACUAUCAUUAACUGAAUCCAUAGGUUAAUGAGGCGAACCGGGGGAACUGAAACAUCUAAGUACCCCGAGGAAAAGAAAUCAACCGAGAUUCCCCCAGUAGCGGCGAGCGAACGGGGAGGAGCCCAGAGCCUGAACCAGUGUGUGUGUUAGUGGAAGCGUCUGGAAAGGCGCGCGAUACAGGGUGACAGCCCCGUACACAAAAAUGCACAUGCUGUGAGCUCGAUGAGUAGGGCGGGACACGUGGUAUCCUGUCUGAAUAUGGGGGGACCAUCCUCCAAGGCUAAAUACUCCUGACUGACCGAUAGUGAACCAGUACCGUGAGGGAAAGGCGAAAAGAACCCCGGCGAGGGGAGUGAAAAAGAACCUGAAACCGUGUACGUACAAGCAGUGGGAGCACGCUUCGGCGUGUGACUGCGUACCUUUUGUAUAAUGGGUCAGCGACUUAUAUUCUGUAGCAAGGUUAACCGAAUAGGGGAGCCGAAGGGAAACCGAGUCUUAACUGGGCGUUAAGUUGCAGGGUAUAGACCCGAAACCCGGUGAUCUAGCCAUGGGCAGGUUGAAGGUUGGGUAACACUAACUGGAGGACCGAACCGACUAAUGUUGAAAAAUUAGCGGAUGACUUGUGGCUGGGGGUGAAAGGCCAAUCAAACCGGGAGAUAGCUGGUUCUCCCCGAAAGCUAUUUAGGUAGCGCCUCGUGAACUCAUCUCCGGGGGUAGAGCACUGUUUCGGCAAGGGGGUCAUCCCGACUUACCAACCCGAUGCAAACUGCGAAUACCGGAGAAUGUUAUCACGGGAGACACACGGCGGGUGCUAACGUCCGUCGUGAAGAGGGAAACAACCCAGACCGCCAGCUAAGGUCCCAAAGUCAUGGUUAAGUGGGAAACGAUGUGGGAAGGCCCAGACAGCCAGGAUGUUGGCUUAGAAGCAGCCAUCAUUUAAAGAAAGCGUAAUAGCUCACUGGUCGAGUCGGCCUGCGCGGAAGAUGUAACGGGGCUAAACCAUGCACCGAAGCUGCGGCAGCGACACUAUGUGUUGUUGGGUAGGGGAGCGUUCUGUAAGCCUGUGAAGGUGUGCUGUGAGGCACGCUGGAGGUAUCAGAAGUGCGAAUGCUGACAUAAGUAACGAUAAAGCGGGUGAAAAGCCCGCUCGCCGGAAGACCAAGGGUUCCUGUCCAACGUUAAUCGGGGCAGGGUGAGUCGACCCCUAAGGCGAGGCCGAAAGGCGUAGUCGAUGGGAAACAGGUUAAUAUUCCUGUACUUGGUGUUACUGCGAAGGGGGGACGGAGAAGGCUAUGUUGGCCGGGCGACGGUUGUCCCGGUUUAAGCGUGUAGGCUGGUUUUCCAGGCAAAUCCGGAAAAUCAAGGCUGAGGCGUGAUGACGAGGCACUACGGUGCUGAAGCAACAAAUGCCCUGCUUCCAGGAAAAGCCUCUAAGCAUCAGGUAACAUCAAAUCGUACCCCAAACCGACACAGGUGGUCAGGUAGAGAAUACCAAGGCGCUUGAGAGAACUCGGGUGAAGGAACUAGGCAAAAUGGUGCCGUAACUUCGGGAGAAGGCACGCUGAUAUGUAGGUGAAGUCCCUCGCGGAUGGAGCUGAAAUCAGUCGAAGAUACCAGCUGGCUGCAACUGUUUAUUAAAAACACAGCACUGUGCAAACACGAAAGUGGACGUAUACGGUGUGACGCCUGCCCGGUGCCGGAAGGUUAAUUGAUGGGGUCAGCGCAAGCGAAGCUCUUGAUCGAAGCCCCGGUAAACGGCGGCCGUAACUAUAACGGUCCUAAGGUAGCGAAAUUCCUUGUCGGGUAAGUUCCGACCUGCACGAAUGGCGUAAUGAUGGCCAGGCUGUCUCCACCCGAGACUCAGUGAAAUUGAACUCGCUGUGAAGAUGCAGUGUACCCGCGGCAAGACGGAAAGACCCCGUGAACCUUUACUAUAGCUUGACACUGAACAUUGAGCCUUGAUGUGUAGGAUAGGUGGGAGGCUUUGAAGUGUGGACGCCAGUCUGCAUGGAGCCGACCUUGAAAUACCACCCUUUAAUGUUUGAUGUUCUAACGUGGACCCGUAAUCCGGGUUGCGGACAGUGUCUGGUGGGUAGUUUGACUGGGGCGGUCUCCUCCUAAAGAGUAACGGAGGAGCACGAAGGUUGGCUAAUCCUGGUCGGACAUCAGGAGGUUAGUGCAAUGGCAUAAGCCAGCUUGACUGCGAGCGUGACGGCGCGAGCAGGUGCGAAAGCAGGUCAUAGUGAUCCGGUGGUUCUGAAUGGAAGGGCCAUCGCUCAACGGAUAAAAGGUACUCCGGGGAUAACAGGCUGAUACCGCCCAAGAGUUCAUAUCGACGGCGGUGUUUGGCACCUCGAUGUCGGCUCAUCACAUCCUGGGGCUGAAGUAGGUCCCAAGGGUAUGGCUGUUCGCCAUUUAAAGUGGUACGCGAGCUGGGUUUAGAACGUCGUGAGACAGUUCGGUCCCUAUCUGCCGUGGGCGCUGGAGAACUGAGGGGGGCUGCUCCUAGUACGAGAGGACCGG
RNAcentral lists this ribosomal RNA (2677 nucleotides) under Escherichia coli. Its description in RNAcentral is "partial 23S ribosomal RNA". It matches the Rfam family "Bacterial large subunit ribosomal RNA". The record is from RNAcentral. Lineage: Bacteria; Pseudomonadati; Pseudomonadota; Gammaproteobacteria; Enterobacterales; Enterobacteriaceae.